AAAGGGUGCGUAGGCGGCCUGUUAAGUCAGGGGUGAAAGACGGUAGCUCAACUAUCGCAGUGCCUUUGAUACUGACGGGCUUGAAUGUACUUGAGGUAGGCGGAAUGUGACAAGUAGCGGUGAAAUGCAUAGAUAUGUCACAGAACACCAAUUGCGAAGGCAGCUUACUAAAGUAUGAUUGACGCUGAGGCACGAAAGCGUGGGGAUCAAACAGGAUUAGAUACCCUGGU
RNAcentral lists this ribosomal RNA (230 nucleotides) under uncultured bacterium. RNAcentral's name for it is "partial 16S ribosomal RNA". It matches the Rfam family "Bacterial small subunit ribosomal RNA", at positions 562 to 791 of the family's 1533-position model. The record is from RNAcentral.